RNAcentral lists this transfer RNA (58 nucleotides) under Tenebrionoidea sp. 21 KM-2017. RNAcentral's name for it is "tRNA-Ser". Lineage: Eukaryota; Metazoa; Arthropoda; Insecta; Coleoptera. The record is from RNAcentral.
GAAAUAUCCAAAAAUAAGCUUCUAACUUAAUUUUAAAGCAUAAUAUGUUUAUAUUUCU